AGGGAACAGGGGCAGGUGGUCAUAGAGCAUCAGACGUGGGAGUUCAGACGAGGUUGGACGAUUUUUUCCACUGUCGGACUGGUCUGGGCAGACAAUGAACCACUGAAGGACGGAGAUGUGUCAUUCGGAAGAAACGUAAGUGCAGCAAGAAAUCAAGAAAGGGGAGGGCUAAACAACGAGGUUCUCAAAUAUUGUUCAAACGAUCUGUCCAACAGAAAGCUCUGAAUCAGAUGACAGCAGCACAGAUGACGGGAACAUUGCUUACUACAUAGAGUUGCCAACAUCGAGACGAAAUACUAUGCCAGUGAGGUGUGGGUGGGUGGCAGCAGAUGUGGGGCGAGUUGCUGCGCCUACUGCAGAGGUCGCAAAUGUUUCCGUAGUCAAUAAUCCUGGUCAAUAAUAAUCCUGAACAUUCAACUGGUUACACUUACCAGAGGACAACAAGUGAAUGUCCGAAUAACCUCAACAGCAUGCUUGACAGAUAUACGAGAUGUUGGUGCUGGACAGCAGCCUGUGGCAUCAUUCUCCGC
Triticum dicoccoides is the source of this 530-nucleotide long non-coding RNA. RefSeq lists it as uncharacterized. The record is from RefSeq and is a predicted model, not a curated record. Lineage: Eukaryota; Viridiplantae; Streptophyta; Magnoliopsida; Poales; Poaceae. The transcript is spliced from 5 exons.